RNAcentral lists this ribosomal RNA (1947 nucleotides) under Triticum aestivum (bread wheat). Its description in RNAcentral is "partial small subunit ribosomal RNA". The record is from RNAcentral. Lineage: Eukaryota; Viridiplantae; Streptophyta; Magnoliopsida; Poales; Poaceae.
AUGUACAGGUAUUUUGUUGUCGUUGAUGAUAUAUGGAAUGUGGAGGCAUGGGAUAUUAUUAAGUUUGCAUUCCCCAUGACAAGUUCUGGCAGCAUCAUAAUCACCACUACUCGUAUAAAUGAAGUUGCCAAAUCAUGCUGUUCAUCUUUCAGUGGCAAUAUUUAUGAUAUAAAGCCUCUUAAUUCAGUGCAUUCAGGAGAGCUAUUUCAUAGAAGACUAUUCGACUCCGAAGAUAAUUGCCCUCCACACCUUGAAGAAGUUUCUAAUCAAAUCUUGGAAAAAUGUGCUGGAUUACCUUUGGCAAUCAUAGCUAUAUCUGGUUUGCUGGCUAACACAAGAAGAACAGAGGACCAAUGGAGCAAAGUAAAAGAUUCAAUUGGUCGUGCACUUGAAAGGAAUCAUGAUGUUGAAGUAAUGAUGAAGAUAUUGUCACUUAGUUAUAUUGAUCUGACUGCUCAUCUGAAGACUUGUCUCUUAUAUAUCAGUAUAUUUCCUGAGGAUUCUUCAAUUCAUAGGAUUAAUCUGAUACGGGACUGGAUAGGUGAAGGAUUCAUUCCUAAAGAAGAAGGGCUUACAAUACAUGAGACAGGAGAAAGGUGUUUUAAUGAGCUCCUCAAUAGGGGCUUGAUCCUACCUGGGGAAACAAAUGAAUAUGGUGAGGUGAGGUAUUGUCGAGUUCAUGACGUAAUUCUUGAUUUCAUCAAAUCCAAGUCUAUUCAAGAGAACUUUGUUACUUUCCUGAGUAUUUCCAAUCCAAAAGCUGGGACAGAAAGCAUUCACCGGUUAUCUCUACAAGGUGGCAAGCAAGAAAAUUCAACAAUACCAACAGCAGGCUUGGAUUUAUCCCAUGUCAGAUCAGUGUAUGGAGCUUCCGUGGAAAUGCCUUCUUUAGAGAAGUUCAGACAUCUGCGUGUUCUGCACUUGAUCCACUAUGUCCGUUAUUCAGAACAAAAUCUUGAAAAUCUAGUGAGGUUGUUCCAGCUGAGUUACUUGAACUUGAGACAUGUAGGAAUAAGAGAGCUCCCAAAACAAAUUGGGCGUUUAGGGUGCUUAGAGGUACUAGACCUAAGAGAAAAUCCGGUAAAGGAAUUACCUGCAUCUAUUGUUAAUCUCAGAAAAUUGUCGCAUCUACUUGUUGAGUAUGGUGUUAAAUGUCCUGAUGGGGUUGCGAAGAUGGAAGCAUUGGAGGCGUUGAAAGAGGUCGGUGUCUCCAUACAGUCAUUAGACUUUGUGUCGGGCCUUGGCCAGCUGAAGAAUUUGAGUAACCUGGCCCUUGAUUCUAACACCAAUGAUACAAUUGAAGCUGCGGAAGAGCGCAACAGAGCUAUCGUAUCUUCCCUGUGUGAGCUAGGCACCCAGAACCUGCAGUCCCUGACUAUUCGGGAUGGGAGAGGCCUCUUACAGGUACAUCUGUGCGAGCUUACCCUCGAGAAGCUUGUUAACUUCUUUUUAGCCAUCCCGCAGAUCCCGAAAUGGGCAAGCUCCCUCAGGAACCUCCAAAAGCUAAUCCUUGAAGUGAAGGGAGUUAAGCAGGAUGAUAUCUGCAUGCUUGGGGCCUUACCCUCUCUGCUCAUUCUGCACCUAAAGGAACAAACAAUGUCAAACGAGCUCAGAAUCAGUGGUGAAGUUGGUUUCCUAUCCUUGAAGAUUUUUAUUUAUGAUGCAAAAUAUCACACGGUAGAUCACAUGUUUGCAGCACGAUCCAUGCCCAAGCUAGAAAAACUCGUGCUUAUUUGCCACGUAGCUGAAGCUGACUCGCUGGACUUUGGAAUGGAGAACCUCCGCUGCCUCAGUACUAUCAGAUGCGAAGCAAAUGGCGACAGGGGCAUUGUUCAAGCUGCAAAGACUGUCAUGGAGAGAGCAGUCAGCACACAUCCGAACCACCCUAAUCUACUCUUUUUGCGUGUUGACAAAUAUGUUUGGUCUCUAAUUCCCAGCUUUGAUUAA